GAUGAACGCUGGCGGCGUGCCUAAUACAUGCAAGUCGAGCGAACAGACGAGGAGCUUGCUCCUCUGACGUUAGCGGCGGACGGGUGAGUAACACGUGGAUAACCUACCUAUAAGACUGGUAUAACUUCGGGAAACCGGAUCUAAUACCGGAUAAUAUAUUGAACCGCAUGGUUCAAUAGUGAAAGACGGUUUUGCUGUCACUUAUAGAUGGAUCCGCGCCGCAUUAGCUAGUUGGUAAGGUAACGGCUUACCAAGGCGACGAUGCGUAGCCGACCUGAGAGGGUGAUCGGCCACACUGGAACUGAGACACGGUCCAGACUCCUACGGGAGGCAGCAGUAGGGAAUCUUCCGCAAUGGGCGAAAGCCUGACGGAGCAACGCCGCGUGAGUGAUGAAGGUCUUCGGAUCGUAAAACUCUGUUAUUGGGGAAGAACAGAUGUGUAAGUAACUAUGCACGUCUUGACGGUACCUAAUCAGAAAGCCACGGCUAACUACGUG
Molecule: ribosomal RNA, 497 nt
Filed under: uncultured bacterium
Lineage: Bacteria
Description: partial 16S ribosomal RNA
Rfam family: Bacterial small subunit ribosomal RNA
Source: RNAcentral